UACGGAGGGAGCUAGCGUUGUUCGGAAUUACUGGGCGUAAAGCGCACGUAGGCGGCUUUGUAAGUUAGAGGUGAAAGCCCGGAGCUCAACUCCGGAAUUGCCUUUAAGACUGCAUCGCUUGAAUCCAGGAGAGGUGAGUGGAAUUCCGAGUGUAGAGGUGAAAUUCGUAGAUAUUCGGAAGAACACCAGUGGCGAAGGCGGCUCACUGGACUGGUAUUGACGCUGAGGUGGCGAAAGCGUGGGAGCAACAGG
This 252-nucleotide ribosomal RNA is filed under the name uncultured bacterium. RNAcentral describes it as "partial 16S ribosomal RNA". It matches the Rfam family "Bacterial small subunit ribosomal RNA", at positions 524 to 776 of the family's 1533-position model. The record is from RNAcentral.